This 344-nucleotide ribosomal RNA is filed under the name uncultured bacterium. RNAcentral's name for it is "bacterial SSU rRNA". It matches the Rfam family "Bacterial small subunit ribosomal RNA", at positions 28 to 355 of the family's 1533-position model. The record is from RNAcentral.
GAUGAACGCUGGCGGCGUGCUUAACACAUGCAAGUCGAACGAAGCACUUUAUUUGAUUUCUUCGGAAUGAAGAUUUUGUGACUGAGUGGCGACGGGUGAGUAACGCGUGGGUAACCUGCCUCAUACAGGGGGAUAACAGUUGGAAACGACUGCUAAUACCGCAUAAGCGCACAGGGUCGCAUGACCUGGUGUGAAAAACUCCGGUGGUAUGAGAUGGACCCGCGUCUGAUUAGCCAGUUGGUGGGGUAACGGCCUACCAAAGCGACGAUCAGUAGCCGACCUGAGAGGGUGACCGGCCACAUUGGGACUGAGACAGGCCCAAAACUCCUACGGGAGGCAGCAGU